This 471-nucleotide ribosomal RNA is filed under the name Salmonella enterica. RNAcentral's name for it is "bacterial SSU rRNA". It matches the Rfam family "Bacterial small subunit ribosomal RNA", at positions 1 to 468 of the family's 1533-position model. RNAcentral also lists the same sequence under 4 other names. The record is from RNAcentral. Lineage: Bacteria; Pseudomonadati; Pseudomonadota; Gammaproteobacteria; Enterobacterales; Enterobacteriaceae.
AAAUUGAAGAGUUUGAUCAUGGCUCAGAUUGAACGCUGGCGGCAGGCCUAACACAUGCAAGUCGAACGGUAACAGGAAGCAGCUUGCUGCUUCGCUGACGAGUGGCGGACGGGUGAGUAAUGUCUGGGAAACUGCCUGAUGGAGGGGGAUAACUACUGGAAACGGUGGCUAAUACCGCAUAACGUCGCAAGACCAAAGAGGGGGACCUUCGGGCCUCUUGCCAUCAGAUGUGCCCAGAUGGGAUUAGCUUGUUGGUGAGGUAAUGGCUCACCAAGGCGACGAUCCCUAGCUGGUCUGAGAGGAUGACCAGCCACACUGGAACUGAGACACGGUCCAGACUCCUACGGGAGGCAGCAGUGGGGAAUAUUGCACAAUGGGCGCAAGCCUGAUGCAGCCAUGCCGCGUGUAUGAAGAAGGCCUUCGGGUUGUAAAGUACUUUCAGCGGGGAGGAAGGUGUUGCGGUUAAUAACC